ACCCACAGCUUCCAAAGUCCUUCCCCGCCCCACGCAGGGGAGAGAGAGCCGAGAGCUGGCCGGGCUAGGAUAGGGGCUGUGGGCCAGACCCAGGGGACGGGAGGUGCAGUCCUGCCGCCUGCUGCCCCCAUGAAGAACAUCCCACUGCUCCCCUGGCCUCCCUGCUCCCAGGGCCAAAUGUGGCCGAAAUCACAGACCCCCAAUGUCCCUCCCCGCGGAGAUACACGGACCCCAUUGCCCUCAAAAAGAGGUAACACCCUGGGACCCCUCCGCCGAGGAUGUGUGGCUCCUCGCAGAAAACGCAGACCCCACCCAAGUCCUGUCUUGACGCCCUCGGUUCCCGUCUGUGUCUCAAGGCGUCCCAGCGCGGCUCCCCAUACCCCAAAGAUGGACCCUCAAUUCUUCCGCAAGGCAUUCGCGGCCCCUGCUCAUCUCAGCCCCACCACUCUGGACGGCCCACUUCCCUUCGGCUGCUCCACGUGUCCCUACAAUCCGAGCCCACGGACCAAGCCUCCUUGGAGUGUCCAGCUGCCCAAAGCGGCCACCGCUAUGGCUAUGAAAUAGAGGCAGCAUCGCACUCUUGAUAGAAAUGAGAAAAUUGAGACCC
Molecule: long non-coding RNA, 607 nt
Filed under: Homo sapiens (human)
Lineage: Eukaryota; Metazoa; Chordata; Mammalia; Primates; Hominidae
Description: novel transcript, antisense to KLF16
Source: RNAcentral